UUUGUAAUCUGGCGUCUUCGACGUCCGAGUUGUAAUCUCGAGAAGUGUUUUCCGUGAUAGACCGCAUACAAGUCUCUUGGAACAGAGCGUCAUAGUGGUGAGAACCCAGUACACGAUGCGGAUGCCUAUUACUUUGUGAUACACUUUCGAAGAGUCGAGUUGUUUGGGAAUGCAGCUCAAAUUGGGUGGUAAAUUCCAUCUAAAGCUAAAUAUUGGCGAGAGACCGAUAGCGAACAAGUACCGUGAGGGAAAGAUGAAAAGCACUUUGGAAAGAGAGUUAACAGUACGUGAAAUUGUUGGAAGGGAAACACAUGCAGUGAUACUUGCUAUUCGGGGCAACUCGAUUGGCAGGCCCGCAUCAGUUUUUCGGGGCGGAAAAUCGUAGAGAGAAGGUAGCAGUUUCGGCUGUGUUAUAGCUCUUUACUGGAUUCGCCCUGGGGGACUGAGGAACGCAGCGUGCUUUUAGCAUGAGCUUCGGCUUAUCCACGCUUAGGAUGCGGGUUUAUGGCUGUAUAUGACCCGUCUUG
RNAcentral lists this ribosomal RNA (527 nucleotides) under uncultured Sporidiobolus. RNAcentral's name for it is "eukaryotic LSU rRNA". It matches the Rfam family "Eukaryotic large subunit ribosomal RNA", at positions 114 to 656 of the family's 3401-position model. Lineage: Eukaryota; Fungi; Basidiomycota; Microbotryomycetes; Sporidiobolales. The record is from RNAcentral.